CAAGCAGGUUAAUAUUCCUGCGCCAUCUUGUAGACGUUGAACCGAGGAAGGACGGAGAAAGCUAGACGAGCUGGCCGGUGGUUGUGCCAGUCCAAAGGCGUAGGGGUGUCGCGUACGAUGAAAAGGCGCGGCAGCUAUCCCCGAGACCCCAUGGCACCCCUCACGGGGUAAGUCGUUGAUGCUCGGCUUCCAAGAAAAGUUCCGCGGGGAGUCUACAGGGUGUCCGUACCGCAAACCGACACAGGUGGGUGAGGAGAAAAUCCUAAGGCGCUUGAGAGAACUCUCCUCCAAGGAACUAGGCAAAUUUCCACCGUAACUUCGGAAGAAGGUGGGCCUCUGGUAGGUGAAGGCGUACAGCUGGAGCCGAGAGAGGUUGCAGAGAAAUGGCGGUAGCGACUGUUUACCAAAAACACAGGACUCUGCGAAGGCACGAAGCCGACGUAUAGGGUCUGACUCCUGCCCGGUGCUGGAAGGUUAAGGGGAUUCGUCAGCCGCAAGGCGAAGCGAUGAUCCGAAGCCCCAGUAAACGGCGGCCGUAACUAUAACGGUCCUAAGGUAGCGAAAUUCCUUGUCGGGUAAGUUCCGACCUGCACGAAUGGAGUAACGACUUCCGCACUGUCUCGGAGAGGGACUCAGCGAAAUUGAAAUAGCUGUGCCGAUGCAGUUUACCCGCAGCAAGACGGAAAGACCCCGUGAACCUUUACUACAACUUGACAGUGACACUAGGGUUCGACUGUGUAGGAUAGGUGGGAGCCUUUGAAGCCGGGCCGCUAGGUUCGGUGGAGGCAACGGUGAAAUACCACCCUGUCGGAUUCUGGUGUCUAACCAUGCCCCCUCAACGGGAGCUGGGACACUGUCUGGUGGGUAGUUUGACUGGGGCGGUCGCCUCCCAAAAUGUAACGGAGGCGCGCGAUGGUUCCCUCAGCCCGAUUGGAAACCGGGCGUCGAGUGCAAUGGCAUAAGGGAGCUUGACUGCGAGACAGACAUGUCGAGCAGGUGCGAAAGCAGGUCAUAGUGAUCCGGUGGUCCUGAAUGGAAGGGCCAUCGCUCAACGGAUAAAAGGUACUCCGGGGAUAACAGGCUUAUCUCCCCCAAGAGUUCACAUCGACGGGGAGGUUUGGCACCUCGAUGUCGGCUCAUCGCAUCCUGGGGCUGGAGCAGGUCCCAAGGGUUUGGCUGUUCGCCAAUUAAAGCGGUACGCGAGCUGGGUUCAAAACGUCGUGAGACAGUUUGGUCCCUAUCUGCUGUGGGCGUAGGAUACUUGAGAGGCUCUGACCUUAGUACGAGAGGACCGGGUUGGAGACACCGCUGGUGUACCAGUUGUCUCGCCAGAGGCAUCGCUGGGUAGCCAUGUGUCGAUU
RNAcentral lists this ribosomal RNA (1361 nucleotides) under Archangium minus. RNAcentral's name for it is "bacterial LSU rRNA". It matches the Rfam family "Bacterial large subunit ribosomal RNA", at positions 1422 to 2761 of the family's 2925-position model. Lineage: Bacteria; Pseudomonadati; Myxococcota; Myxococcia; Myxococcales; Archangiaceae. The record is from RNAcentral.